RNAcentral lists this ribosomal RNA (583 nucleotides) under Sardinella aurita (round sardinella). RNAcentral's name for it is "partial 16S ribosomal RNA". It matches the Rfam family "Bacterial large subunit ribosomal RNA", at positions 1814 to 2602 of the family's 2925-position model. The record is from RNAcentral. Lineage: Eukaryota; Metazoa; Chordata; Actinopteri; Clupeiformes; Clupeidae.
CAUCGCCUCCUGCCCACUCAGCAUAGGAGGUCCCGCCUGCCCUGUGACCAAAAGUUUAACGGCCGCGGUAUUUUAACCGUGCAAAGGUAGCGCAAUCAAUUGUCUUUUAAAUGAAGACCUGUAUGAAUGGCAUAACGAGGGUUUAACUGUCUCUUUUUUCAGGUCAAUGAAACUGAUCUGUCCGUGCAGAAGCGGACAUAUUAACACAAGACGAGAAGACCCUAUGGAGCUUUAGACGCCCACCAACCGCGAAAAGCAGCCUACCUAAACAGAUGCUCUAAACAACGCGGUCCUGGUAUAAACGUCUUCGGUUGGGGCGACCGCGGAGGAGAACAAAGCCUCCAAGAGGAAUGGGAACAAACCCUAAAACCAAGAGCCACAGCUCUAAGUCACAAAAAAUUUGACCGACAAUGAUCCGGCUUACUGCCGAUCAACGGACCAAGUUACCCUAGGGAUAACAGCGCAAUCCCCUCCCAGAGUCCAUAUCGACGAGGGGGUUUACGACCUCGAUGUUGGAUCAGGACAUCCUAAUGGUGCAGCCGCUAUUAAGGGUUCGUUUGUUCAACGAUUAAAGUCCUACGUG